Molecule: ribosomal RNA, 676 nt
Filed under: uncultured fungus
Lineage: Eukaryota; Fungi
Description: eukaryotic LSU rRNA
Rfam family: 5.8S ribosomal RNA (bases 228-381)
Source: RNAcentral
GCGGAGGAUCAUUAAUGAGUUGUAAUGGGGUUUGAUGCUGGCAGCCAAUUUACUUGGAUGCAUGUGCUCACCCUGACAAUCAUCUUCCAAACACCUGUGCACAUUUUUGAGGGAGUUUCGAGUUGAUUGCUGCUUUGUGGCAGUUUUCUUGCAUUCCCUUAAAUCAUUUAUACGCUGUUAGCAAAUGCUGAACGUGCCUUUGUGCCGCAAGGCCAUUAAUGUAAUACAACUUUUAACAACGGAUCUCUUGGCUCUCGCAUCGAUGAAGAACGCAGCGAAAUGCGAUAAGUAAUGUGAAUUGCAGAAUUCAGUGAAUCAUCGAAUCUUUGAACGCACCUUGCGCUCCCUGGUAUUCCGGGGAGCACGCCUGUUCGAGUGUCGCGAAAUUUCUCAAGCUUGGAUGGCCUUUUUUGUCUAUCCUUAGCCUUGGUUGUUGGGCUUUGCCGUGUCCUUUAUUGGGACGGCUGGCCUUAAAAGCAUUAGCCGAUCCUUGUGCGGCACUGGUUCUACUCAGCGUGAUAAUUGUCUGAUCGCUGAGGACAUCUUUUGGGAUGGCCAGUCCUCAUUUGGGUUGCUUAUAGACCUGGUCUUGCAGAUUCUUGGAUCUGUGUUUCCACUUUUCAGCUUUGACCUCGAAUCAGGUGGGACUACCCGCUGAACUUAAGCAUAUCAAUAA